ACCUGGCCUCAAGCAAUCUUCCCACUUCGGCCUCCCAAAGUGCUGGGAUUACAGGAGGAGGGGCACUGCACCUGGCCUAGGGAACACACUCUGAAGGGCUGGCUGUGGCCCUGGGUUUGGGAAACACUCAUGUCUUUGCCUUUCUGCUCCGUCCCAGAUACCAGAGAGCCCUCAGGCAACGAUGAGGGAGACGGAAUCCCCUGGCUGGAGGGUAUGGCUGGAGCUUUGCAGGGCCCAGUGCUGACCUCCUCUGGUUGUAAAAAUCUACAAGGAGCUAUGACGCCAAAGGAAUCCAACACAAAAGGUAAAUUCCUGAGCGAGGCCCGGCCCCCACGGGCUUCUGGACUCGGACGUGUUUGUUCUGCCAGAAGGAUCCCGCCUUGACUGCUGCUGCCACUUGGAACCUGGCCGUUACCCUCAAAGGCUGCAACUGGACCCUCGCGGGGCGGGGGGACUGGCAACUAUACGUGACAUGGUUUUAUCUGUGACCUAAAUUAAAACACAUUGUGAUUGCAGCCCCUGCCAAUCAGGAAUGCGACCAGCCCAGGGGAUUCAAUUAAAAUGCUAAAUUAAUUCAAUUGAA
Homo sapiens (human) is the source of this 583-nucleotide long non-coding RNA. RefSeq lists it as uncharacterized. The transcript is spliced from 2 exons. NCBI's taxonomy places the organism in Eukaryota, Metazoa, Chordata, Mammalia, Primates, Hominidae. The record is from RefSeq and is a predicted model, not a curated record.